UGAGUCCCGUAAAUGGUCGUGCCACUUGAAAACAUACGUUCCCAUUAGACCUCAUCAACAGAUCAUUUAAUAAACGACGGCGCUGUAUUGAAAGCGGUUAAUGGUAGACCUCAAAACUGGUUAGCACUUGAUAAAAAGUUCUACACAAGGACACUCCUGGGAACUACUCGUCGAAGCAUCCGGAGCUCGUCCGACGUUUGAUGUCAUGAUUAUCUAAAAUAAUAGAUUUACCGGAAGCCGAACAACUAUUUCACUAACUAAUACGAGCUGGAAUAGGACAAAACGUAAAUCCGGAACUGAUUUUUAGCUACUCAAAACGACGCCACUUGUCGACUUGUUAUUGUUCAAUAAAACGCAUGCAAACCAAAUACCUUUGUUGUUUCAUUUUGACAGCAGUUGGAAUGGGUCGACCCCCAUUGUGUGGACUCGCAUCAAUACGGCUACACCGUGACGUCACUGAGCGCCUGUUCAUAUUGGGCUUGUUCUCUGAGUGACGUUUAUACCAAUAAGCCGAGAACAAGCCGAGAACAAGCCCAAGAAAUUUCAUACAAAUUCUCUCUGAGAUU
Long non-coding RNA from Anopheles gambiae (African malaria mosquito), 566 nucleotides. RefSeq lists it as uncharacterized. Lineage: Eukaryota; Metazoa; Arthropoda; Insecta; Diptera; Culicidae. The transcript has 3 exons. The record is from RefSeq and is a predicted model, not a curated record.